CAGCUUGUUGGUGAGGUAAUGGCUCACCAAGGCGACGAUCCGUAACUGGUCUGAGAGGAUGAUCAGUCACACUGGAACUGAGACACGGUCCAGACUCCUACGGGAGGCAGCAGUGGGGAAUAUUGGACAAUGGGCGAAAGCCUGAUCCAGCCAUGCCGCGUGUGUGAAGAAGGUCUUCGGAUUGUAAAGCACUUUAAGUUGGGAGGAAGGGCAUUAACCUAAUACGUUGGUGUCUUGACGUUACCGACAGAAUAAGCACCGGCUAACUCUGUGCCAGCAGCCGCGGUAAUACAGAGGGUGCAAGCGUUAAUCGGAAUUACUGGGCGUAAAGCGCGCGUAGGUGGUUCGUUAAGUUGGAUGUGAAAUCCCCGGGCUCAACCUGGGAACUGCAUUCAAAACUGACGGGCUAGAGUAUGGUAGAGGGUGGUGGAAUUUCCUGUGUAGCGGUGAAAUGCGUAGAUAUAGGAAGGAACACCAGUGGCGAAGGCGACCACCUGGACUGAUACUGACACUGAGGUGCGAAAGCG
Molecule: ribosomal RNA, 527 nt
Filed under: uncultured Gammaproteobacteria bacterium
Lineage: Bacteria; Pseudomonadati; Pseudomonadota; Gammaproteobacteria
Description: SSU rRNA
Rfam family: Bacterial small subunit ribosomal RNA
Source: RNAcentral